This 472-nucleotide ribosomal RNA is filed under the name uncultured bacterium. RNAcentral's name for it is "bacterial SSU rRNA". It matches the Rfam family "Bacterial small subunit ribosomal RNA", at positions 335 to 799 of the family's 1533-position model. The record is from RNAcentral.
ACUCCUACGGGAGGCAGCAGUGGGGAAUAUUGCACAAUGGGCGCAAGCCUGAUGCAGCCAUGCCGCGUGUAUGAAGAAGGCCUUCGGGUUGUAAAGUACUUUCAGCAGUGAGGAAGGUAGUGUAGUUAAUAGCUGCAUUAUUUGACGUUAGCUGCAGAAGAAGCACCGGCUAACUCCGUGCCAGCAGCCGCGGUAAUACGGAGGGUGCGAGCGUUAAUCGGAAUUACUGGGCGUAAAGGGCGCGUAGGCGGGAUGUCAAGUUAGGGGUGAAAGGCCUGGGCUCAACCUAGGAACUGCCUCUAAAACUGAUAUUCUAGAGUCCGGGAGAGGAUGGCGGAAUUCCCAGUGUAGAGGUGAAAUUCGUAGAUAUUGGGAAGAACACCGGUGGCGAAGGCGGCCAUCUGGUCCGGCACUGACGCUGAGGCGCGAAAGCGUGGGGAGCAAACAGGAUUAGAUCCCCUGGUAGGCUCUG